ACGGAAGGCAGCAGUGGGGAAUAUUGGACAAUGGGCGAAAGCCUGAUCCAGCGACGCCGCGUGAGUGAAGAAGUAUUUCGGUAUGUAAAGCUCUAUCAGCAGGGAAGAUAAUGACGGUACCUGACUAAGAAGCCCCGGCUAACUACGUGCCAGCAGCCGCGGUAAUACGUAGGGGGCAAGCGUUAUCCGGAUUUACUGGGUGUAAAGGGAGCGUAGACGGUUUGGCAAGUCUGAAGUGAAAUGCGGGGGCUCAACUCCUGAACUGCUUUGGAAACUGUCGAACUAGAGUGCAGGAGAGGUAAGUGGAAUUCCUAGUGUAGCGGUGAAAUGCGUAGAUAUUAGGAGGAACACCAGUGGCGAAGGCGGCUUACUGGACUGUAACUGACGUUGAGGCUCGAAAGCGUGGGGAGCAAACAGGAUUAGAUACCCUGGUA
This 434-nucleotide ribosomal RNA is filed under the name uncultured Lachnospiraceae bacterium. RNAcentral describes it as "partial 16S ribosomal RNA". It matches the Rfam family "Bacterial small subunit ribosomal RNA", at positions 341 to 792 of the family's 1533-position model. Lineage: Bacteria; Bacillati; Bacillota; Clostridia; Lachnospirales; Lachnospiraceae. The record is from RNAcentral.